RNAcentral lists this ribosomal RNA (426 nucleotides) under uncultured bacterium. RNAcentral's name for it is "bacterial SSU rRNA". It matches the Rfam family "Bacterial small subunit ribosomal RNA", at positions 355 to 775 of the family's 1533-position model. The record is from RNAcentral.
UCUAGAGGCUUCGUCAAUGGGGGCAACCCUGAACGAGCGACGCCGCGUGUGGGAUUGAAGGCCUUCGGGUCGUAAACCACUGUCGAGUGGGAAGAAUGUCCGGAUGGCGAAUCCGGAAGCGACGGUACCACUAUAGGAAGCCCCGGCUAACUCCGUGCCAGCAGCCGCGGUAAUACGGAGGGGGCAAGCGUUGUUCGGAUUUACUGGGCGUAAAGGGUGUGUAGGCGGCUGGACAAGUCUGGUGUGAAAUCUUCACCGCUCAACGGGAAGGGGUCACUGGAAACUGUUCAGCUUGAGUAUGGUAGAGGCAAGCGGAAUUCCUGGUGUAGCGGUGGAAUGUGUAGAUAUCAGGAAGAACAUCGGUGGCGAAGGCGGCUUGCUGGGCCAUCACUGACGCUGAGACACGAAAGCGUGGGGAGCAAACGG